RNAcentral lists this ribosomal RNA (497 nucleotides) under uncultured bacterium. Its description in RNAcentral is "partial 16S ribosomal RNA". It matches the Rfam family "Bacterial small subunit ribosomal RNA", at positions 28 to 507 of the family's 1533-position model. The record is from RNAcentral.
GACGAACGCUGGCGGCGUGCCUAAUACAUGCAAGUAGAACGCUGAAGAGAGGAGCUUACUCUUCUUGGAUGAGUUGCGAACGGGUGAGUAACGCGUAGGUGACCUGCCUUGUAGCGGGGGAUAACUAUUGGAAACGAUAGCUAAUACCGCAUAACAAUGGAUGACACAUGUCAUUUAUUUGAAAGGGGCAAUUGCUCCACUACAAGAUGGACCUGCGUUGUAUUAGCUAGUAGGUGAGGUAAUGGCUCACCUAGGCGACGAUACAUAGCCGACCUGAGAGGGUGAUCGGCCACACUGGGACUGAGACACGGCCCAGACUCCUACGGGAGGCAGCAGUAGGGAAUCUUCGGCAAUGGGGGCAACCCUGACCGAGCAACGCCGCGUGAGUGAAGAAGGUUUUCGGAUCGUAAAGCUCUGUUGUAAGUCAAGAACGGGUGUGAGAGUGGAAAGUUCACACUGUGACGGUAGCUUACCAGAAAGGGACGGCUAACUACGUG